UGAUAAUAGAAUGGACGAGUUGACGAGAACUAGAUGGGCGGUGUAGUUGGGAAGUGAUCACAGACUGGAAUAUCUGAUCG
This 80-nucleotide unclassified non-coding RNA is filed under the name Caenorhabditis briggsae. Its description in RNAcentral is "Cb104.2 C/D snoRNA". Lineage: Eukaryota; Metazoa; Nematoda; Chromadorea; Rhabditida; Rhabditidae. The record is from RNAcentral.